Molecule: ribosomal RNA, 841 nt
Filed under: Limosilactobacillus reuteri
Lineage: Bacteria; Bacillati; Bacillota; Bacilli; Lactobacillales; Lactobacillaceae
Description: bacterial SSU rRNA
Rfam family: Bacterial small subunit ribosomal RNA
Source: RNAcentral
UCGCUCAGGAUGAACGCUGGCGGUGUGCCUAAUACAUGCAAGUCGUACGCACUGGCCCAACUGAUUGAUGGUGCUUGCACCUGAUUGACGAUGGAUCACCAGUGAGUGGCGGACGGGUGAGUAACACGUAGGUAACCUGCCCCGGAGCGGGGGAUAACAUUUGGAAACAGAUGCUAAUACCGCAUAACAACAAAAGCCACAUGGCUUUUGUUUGAAAGAUGGCUUUGGCUAUCACUCUGGGAUGGACCUGCGGUGCAUUAGCUAGUUGGUAAGGUAACGGCUUACCAAGGCGAUGAUGCAUAGCCGAGUUGAGAGACUGAUCGGCCACAAUGGAACUGAGACACGGUCCAUACUCCUACGGGAGGCAGCAGUAGGGAAUCUUCCACAAUGGGCGCAAGCCUGAUGGAGCAACACCGCGUGAGUGAAGAAGGGUUUCGGCUCGUAAAGCUCUGUUGUUGGAGAAGAACGUGCGUGAGAGUAACUGUUCACGCAGUGACGGUAUCCAACCAGAAAGUCACGGCUAACUACGUGCCAGCAGCCGCGGUAAUACGUAGGUGGCAAGCGUUAUCCGGAUUUAUUGGGCGUAAAGCGAGCGCAGGCGGUUGCUUAGGUCUGAUGUGAAAGCCUUCGGCUUAACCGAAGAAGUGCAUCGGAAACCGGGCGACUUGAGUGCAGAAGAGGACAGUGGAACUCCAUGUGUAGCGGUGGAAUGCGUAGAUAUAUGGAAGAACACCAGUGGCGAAGGCGGCUGUCUGGUCUGCAACUGACGCUGAGGCUCGAAAGCAUGGGUAGCGAACAGGAUUAGAUACCCUGGUAGUCCAUGCCGUAAACGAUGAUCAUG